UGCGUAGGCGGUCGGAUAAGUUUGAUGUGAAAUCUCCGGGCUUAACCCGGAAACUGCAUUGAAUACUAUUCGGCUUGAGGUCUGGAGGGGGGACUGGAAUUCUCGGUGUAGCAGUGAAAUGCGUAGAUAUCGAGAGGAACACCAGUGGCGAAGGCGAGUCCCUGGACAGGUCCUGACGCUGAGGCACGAAAGCUGGGAGGCAAACA
RNAcentral lists this ribosomal RNA (206 nucleotides) under uncultured bacterium. RNAcentral describes it as "partial 16S ribosomal RNA". It matches the Rfam family "Bacterial small subunit ribosomal RNA", at positions 568 to 774 of the family's 1533-position model. The record is from RNAcentral.